GGAUCGAUGCCUGAGAGGUUAAAAGGAAAGGACUGUAAAUCCUUUGACUUAUAUGUCUACGUUGGUUCAAAUCCAACUCGAUCCA
RNAcentral lists this transfer RNA (85 nucleotides) under Prosopanche americana. RNAcentral's name for it is "tRNA-Tyr". It matches the Rfam family "tRNA". From Rfam's summary of the family: Transfer RNA (tRNA) molecules are approximately 80 nucleotides in length. Their secondary structure includes four short double-helical elements and three loops (D, anti-codon, and T loops). The record is from RNAcentral. Lineage: Eukaryota; Viridiplantae; Streptophyta; Magnoliopsida; Piperales; Hydnoraceae.